UACGAAGGGUGCAAACGUUGCUCGGAAUUAUUGGGCGUAAAGCGCACGUAGGCGGCUUGGCAAGUCGGAUGUGAAAUCCCUCGGCUCAACCAAGGAAGUGCAUCCGAAACUGGCGAGCUAGAGUACGAAAGAGGAUCGCGGAAUUCCCGGUGUAGAGGUGAAAUUCGUAGAUAUCGGGAGGAACACCAGUGGCGAAGGCGGCUUUCUGGACAUUUACUGACGCUGAGACGCGAAAGCGUGGGGAGCAAACAGG
This 253-nucleotide ribosomal RNA is filed under the name uncultured bacterium. RNAcentral's name for it is "partial 16S ribosomal RNA". It matches the Rfam family "Bacterial small subunit ribosomal RNA", at positions 524 to 776 of the family's 1533-position model. The record is from RNAcentral.